CGCUUUUUGCAUUCAAAAAGAGGAAAGUCCGGGCUCCACAGGGUAAAGUGCCAGGUAACUCCUGGGAGGCGUGAGCCUACGGAAAGUGCCACAGAAAAUAUACCGCCUUUAUUGUCGCGUAAGCCACAAUUAAAAGGUAAGGGUGAAAUGGUGCGGUAAGAGCGCACCGCGCGACUGGCAACAGGCGUGGCAGGGUAAACCCCACUCGGAGCAAGACCAAAUAGGAAUCUAACUGGCUGCAAGGCUAGAACGUAUGGCCCGUACGGGAUUCGGGUAGGUCGCUUGAGGCAUGUGGUGACGCAUGUCCUAGAUGAAUGAUUGUCCAUG
Molecule: RNase P RNA, 327 nt
Filed under: Legionella cardiaca
Lineage: Bacteria; Pseudomonadati; Pseudomonadota; Gammaproteobacteria; Legionellales; Legionellaceae
Description: partial ribonuclease P RNA
Rfam family: Bacterial RNase P class A
About the family: Ribonuclease P (RNase P) is a ubiquitous endoribonuclease, found in archaea, bacteria and eukarya as well as chloroplasts and mitochondria.
Source: RNAcentral